RNAcentral lists this ribosomal RNA (253 nucleotides) under uncultured bacterium. Its description in RNAcentral is "partial 16S ribosomal RNA". It matches the Rfam family "Bacterial small subunit ribosomal RNA", at positions 524 to 776 of the family's 1533-position model. The record is from RNAcentral.
UACAGAGGUCCCAAGCGUUGUUCGGAUUCACUGGGCGUAAAGGGUGCGUAGGCGGUCGGGUAAGUCUGAUGUGAAAUCUCACAGCUUAACUGUGAAACUGCAUUGGAUACUAUCCGGCUCGAGGAAUGGAGGGGAGACUGGAAUUCCUGGUGUAGCGGUGAAAUGCGCAGAUAUCAGGAGGAACACCGGUGGCGAAGGCGGGUCUCUGGGCAGUAACUGACGCUGAGGAGCGAAAGCGUGGGGAGCGAACAGG